This 602-nucleotide long non-coding RNA is filed under the name Junco hyemalis (dark-eyed junco). RNAcentral's name for it is "lncRNA (ENSJHYG00000018363.1)". The record is from RNAcentral. Lineage: Eukaryota; Metazoa; Chordata; Aves; Passeriformes; Passerellidae.
AAUUUGCAUAGAAUGACUGCCUAAAUAGAAAUGCACGUUCUUUUACUGCAGGUAUGUGUGGUACUGUACUAGACUCUCUGUGGUUUCUGCAUAAAUGAGGCAAGGCCAAAGAUGACUGCUCCAAGUGAGAGAAGAUACUCCAGGAAAAGUACCUCUGCUCUUCUAACCUCUGACUACACACAAGAGCAGGAACUGCAGGUGUUUCCUUCAACACAAGGAAAAGCACUGAAAAAGAGUGUAAAGGGGGAGAGGUGGUUCUUGUGAAGCUCUUUCCAGGGGCACGGGGAGAUGAAGGGUCUCCGUCAGGGUCAAGGUGUGACCCCAUGAACUCAUCCCAGGGUCAUGUCUGUCUCCUGUACACUGAGCAGGGACCGGCUCCUGCAGCACUGCAUCCCUGCCUGGCUGUGAUUCUUGGCAGCUCAUGGAUUUGCUUUUCAUCUCCUCAAAGCAGCAGGAGAACAACAGUGGGUUUAUAAGCCCAGAGGAAAUUGUCCACCAAGUUUUGAAUCCCUGGCAGAGGACUCUAGCUGUAAUCAUGGCAGGAUGAGGGGAAAUCAGAGCCUUGCUUAGGGUAUAGUAAAUAAAAUGUGGGGGGAAAAGCA